This 492-nucleotide ribosomal RNA is filed under the name uncultured bacterium. RNAcentral's name for it is "partial 16S ribosomal RNA". It matches the Rfam family "Bacterial small subunit ribosomal RNA", at positions 29 to 507 of the family's 1533-position model. The record is from RNAcentral.
AGUGAACGCUGGCGGUAGGCCUAACACAUGCAAGUCGAACGGCAGCACAGUAAGAGCUUGCUCUUACGGGUGGCGAGUGGCGGACGGGUGAGGAAUACAUCGGAAUCUACUCUUUCGUGGGGGAUAACGUAGGGAAACUUACGCUAAUACCGCAUACGACCUACGGGUGAAAGCAGGGGAUCUUCGGACCUUGCGCGUUUGAAUGAGCCGCUGUCGGAUUAGCUAGUUGGCGGGGUAAAGGCCCACCAAGGCGACGAUCCGUAGCUGGUCUGAGAGGAUGAUCAGCCACACUGGAACUGAGACACGGUCCAGACUCCUACGGGAGGCAGCAGUGGGGAAUAUUAGACAAUGGGCGCAAGCCUGAUCCAGCCAUACCGCGUGGGUGAAGAAGGCCUUCGGGUUGUAAAGCCCUUUUGUUGGGAAAGAAAAGCAGCAGGUUAAUACCCCGCUGUUCUGACGGUACCCAAAGAAUAAGCACCGGCUAACUUCGUG